Molecule: ribosomal RNA, 435 nt
Filed under: uncultured bacterium
Lineage: Bacteria
Description: bacterial SSU rRNA
Rfam family: Bacterial small subunit ribosomal RNA
Source: RNAcentral
AACGAACGCUGGCGGCAUGCCUAACACAUGCAAGUCGAACGAAGGCUUCGGCCUUAGUGGCGCACGGGUGCGUAACGCGUGGGAACCUGCCCCCUCGGUUCGGAAUAACAGUUAGAAAUGACUGCUAAUACCGGAUGAUGACUUCGGUCCAAAGAUUUAUCGCCGAGGGAUGGGCCCGCGUAGGAUUAGCUAGUUGGUGGGGUAAAGGCCUACCAAGGCGACGAUCCUUAGCUGGUCUGAGAGGAUGAUCAGCCACACUGGGACUGAGACACGGCCCAGACUCCUACGGGAGGCAGCAGUGGGGAAUAUUGGACAAUGGGCGAAAGCCUGAUCCAGCAAUGCCGCGUGAGUGAUGAAGGCCUUAGGGUUGUAAAGCUCUUUUACCUAGGGAUGAUAAUGACAGUACCUGGAGAAUAAGCUCCGGCUAACUCCGUG